UACGGGGGGGGCAAGCGUUGUUCGGAAUUACUGGGCGUAAAGGGCUCGUAGGCGGCCAACUAAGUCGGAUGUGAAAUCCCCAGGCUUAACCUGGGAACUGCAUCCGAUACUGGAUGGCUUGAAUCCGGGAGAGGGAUGCGGAAUUCCAGGUGUAGCGGUGAAAUGCGUAGAUAUCUGGAGGAACACCGGUGGCGAAGGCGGCAUCCCGGACCGGCAUUGACGCUGAGGAGCGAAAGCCAGGGGAGCAAACGGG
This 253-nucleotide ribosomal RNA is filed under the name uncultured bacterium. RNAcentral describes it as "partial 16S ribosomal RNA". It matches the Rfam family "Bacterial small subunit ribosomal RNA", at positions 524 to 776 of the family's 1533-position model. The record is from RNAcentral.